This 1287-nucleotide ribosomal RNA is filed under the name metagenome. Its description in RNAcentral is "bacterial SSU rRNA". It matches the Rfam family "Bacterial small subunit ribosomal RNA", at positions 242 to 1520 of the family's 1533-position model. The record is from RNAcentral.
UAGCUAGUUGGUGAGGUAACGGCUUACCAAGGCGACGAUCUGUAGCGGGUCUGAGAGGAUGAUCCGCCACACUGGAACUGAGACACGGUCCAGACUCCUACGGGAGGCAGCAGUGGGGAAUUUUGGACAAUGGGGGCAACCCUGAUCCAGCCAUGCCGCGUGAGUGAAGAAGGCCUUCGGGUUGUAAAGCUCUUUCGGCCGGGAAGAAAUCGCAUGGGCCAAUACCCUGUGUGGAUGACGGUACCGGAAUAAGAAGCACCGGCUAACUACGUGCCAGCAGCCGCGGUAAUACGUAGGGUGCGAGCGUUAAUCGGAAUUACUGGGCGUAAAGCGUGCGCAGGCGGUUUUGUAAGACAGGCGUGAAAUCCCCGGGCUCAACCUGGGAACUGCGUUUGUGACUGCAAGGCUAGAGUACGGCAGAGGGGGGUGGAAUUCCACGUGUAGCAGUGAAAUGCGUAGAGAUGUGGAGGAACACCAAUGGCGAAGGCAGCCCCCUGGGUCGAUACUGACGCUCAUGCACGAAAGCGUGAGUAGCAAACAGGAUUAGAUACCCUGGUAGUCCACGCCCUAAACUAUGUCAACUAGGUGUUGGGUGGGUAAAACCAUUUAGUACCGUAGCUAACGCGUGAAGUUGACCGCCUGGGGAGUACGGCCGCAAGGUUAAAACUCAAAGGAAUUGACGGGGACCCGCACAAGCGGUGGGUGAUGUGGAUUAAUUCGAUGCAACGCGAAAAACCUUACCUACCCUUGACAUGCCAGGAACUUGCCAGAGAUGGCUUGGUGCCCGAAAGGGAGCCUGGACACAGGUGCUGCAUGGCUGUCGUCAGCUCGUGUCGUGAGAUGUUGGGUUAAGUCCCGCAACGAGCGCAACCCUUGUCGUUAAUUGCCAUCAUUUAGUUGGGCACUUUAGCGAGACUGCCGGUGACAAACCGGAGGAAGGUGGGGAUGACGUCAAGUCCUCAUGGCCCUUAUGGGUAGGGCUUCACACGUCAUACAAUGGUCGGUACAGAGGGUCGCCAAGCCGCGAGGUGGAGCCAAUCCCAGAAAGCCGAUCGUAGUCCGGAUUGCAGGCUGCAACUCGCCUGCAUGAAGUCGGAAUCGCUAGUAAUCGUGGAUCAGCAUGUCACGGUGAAUACGUUCCCGGGUCUUGUACACACCGCCCGUCACACCAUGGGAGCGGGUUCCGCCAGAAGUAGGUAGCCUAACCGCAAGGAGGGCGCUUACCACGGCGGGGUUCGUGACUGGGGUGAAGUCGAAACAAGGUAGCCGUAGGGGAACCUGCGGCUG